GGGUCUAUUAGUCUGUAUAGUAUCACUACUGAUGAGCAGCACGACCCUCUGUCUAUACCCUUGUCUUUUGCGCACUCAUGUUUCCUCGGCGGCUUGAUACCCGCCGGCUGGAUCAAUCUAUAACCUUUUUAAUUUUCAAUCAGCGUCUGAAAAACCUAAUAAUUACAACUUUCAACAACGGAUCUCUUGGUUCUGGCAUCGAUGAAGAACGCAGCGAAAUGCGAUAAGUAGUGUGAAUUGCAGAAUUCAGUGAAUCAUCGAAUCUUUGAACGCACAUUGCGCCCCUUGGUAUUCCAUGGGGCAUGCCUGUUCGAGCGUCAUUUGUACCCUCAAGCUCUGCUUGGUGUUGGGUGUUUGUCCACUAUCGUGGACUCGCCUUAAAGUCAUUGGCAGCCAGUGUUUUGGUAUUGAAGCGCAGCACAUUUUGCGCCUCUAGCCUAGAACACUAGCGUCCAGUAAGCCUUUUUCCACUUUUGACCUCGGAUCAGGUAGGGAUACCCGCUGAACUUAAGCAUAUCAAUAAGCGG
Molecule: ribosomal RNA, 527 nt
Filed under: Pleosporales sp. ET2S509
Lineage: Eukaryota; Fungi; Ascomycota; Dothideomycetes; Pleosporales
Description: eukaryotic LSU rRNA
Rfam family: 5.8S ribosomal RNA (bases 167-320)
Source: RNAcentral